Long non-coding RNA from Sebastes umbrosus (honeycomb rockfish), 2582 nucleotides. RefSeq lists it as uncharacterized. Lineage: Eukaryota; Metazoa; Chordata; Actinopteri; Perciformes; Sebastidae. The record is from RefSeq and is a predicted model, not a curated record. The transcript has 4 exons.
GACAGCCAUGGUGCCGGCUACACCGUGUUCACUAAUCACUCAGCCCACUCAAACACUUAAGCGAACGUGAGCUAGUUUUCCAAAAGUUUGAUAAUAAUAAUCACUUCAACAUUACUUUAGGCUUCUUGGAAGAAAUAACCACAGUCCCGGUGCUGCUCCAGGAGUCCAGGGACCGUGUUUGUGUCACUUUGUGAGUUUUUGCGGCCCCAAAUGAGACGUUUAAAUGACACAUUCAGACGAGUUGCGUCACUCCAGCAGGGCUGGGCAAUAUGACCAUAUAUGCUGCUACUGGAGUCCUGUGACUGUGUCAUUUUUUGAUUUUCUCCAUUGAUGAACCACUGCUUCACUCCAGCAGGGCUGGGCAAUAUGACCAUAUAUGCUGCUCCAGGAGUCCUGUGACUAUGGUUCUGCCCCAAAUGUGAUGUUCAAAGGCGACUCUUUUUCUCCAACGAACCAUUGCUUCACUCCAGCAUGCAGACGUGGAGUGAUACUGAAAGUGCAAAGGAAUUAAUAAACUCCAAUACAUCCAGAACUCUGCUGUCCGUCUGCUCACCCAUUCCCGGUCCCGUGAUCACAUCGCCCCCAUCCCCUAGAACCUCCACUGGCUCACUGUCCCCCAGCUCAAACUCCUUCUCCUCACUCACAAAGCACUCCAUAACCAGGCCCCACCCUACCUCACAGACCUGCUCCACCAUCACACUCCUUCCCGCUCCCUCCGCUCCUCUGAUGCCAACCUCCUGUCCACACCACUCAGAACCAAGCACCGGACCUGGGGCGACAGAGCAUUUGCCAUAGCCGCCCCCUCCCUCUGGAACUCACUCCCUAAACACAUCCGAAACUGCACCAACCUGUCCACAUUCAAAUCACAAAUCAAAACUCACCUUUUAGAACUGGUUUUAAUGUGUGAUUCAUAUUGUGUGUUUUAUAUUUUUUUUAUGAUGGCACUGUUUUAUGAUCAUUUUAUCAGUGUAAAGUGUCUUUGAGUUUCCAGAAAAGCGCUAUAUAAAUAAAAUGUAUUAUUUUUUUAUUAUUAAUUAGACAUCAUAGCAGUGGUAUUAUAUCACAGCCAUGAAUCAGAUAGCUUGAUUUGAGCUACCUGUUUUAUAAGAAACCUUCUCCUACCCUCAGUGUUUAUUAUUAUUCUGAAAAAGUACUUCAUGUUGUAAAGAGAUGAUGCUGUUCUUGAACCCUUGUGGCAACUGAGUAAAUGAAGAAUUGACAGGGAGUCAAUAACUGACUAAUCAUUGUUAGGGCUCUGGAGCGUCAUUUAUGCUUACAGUCGUUUAUAAUUACCAUGUUUGCACUCUUUCUGCUGUUUGCUGAUGUUUGUGUGAUGGCUUUGACACUUUGUAAUUCACACUGAAUGCAUCAGUGUUCAUGCGUAGCAAAUAAGAGACUCGGCAAGUAGAAGAGGGUGCACUGGCAGCAUGGCACAAAGCAAGGAUGAUCUUUAAAUUCAGCUAUAGAAAUUUAAUUAAAGAGAAGACCCCACAUCUUCAUUACUCAGUCCUAUUUCUUGUAUGGUGAUUUAUCAGAAAGCUGCUGGCUGCUCUAGUGCUCUUUGCAUGCGAAUGUUCAUUCUCUUAAUCUUUCAAGAUCCCGAUUUGAUUGAAACACAUUAGGUCUGUUCUCUGUUUAAUUCACGCAGCUGUCAAAUCAUAUUAAAACCAAGACGGCGAGCAACCAAAGUAAACAAUAACAAGGCUGCUAGUAAAAUUGGAGAAACGAUACAAAUCACAACCGUUAUACUCGCUGUCACAUGGUCCCAGAGCCCAAAAAAGGAUGUCUUCAAAGUGUCCAACAGUCAGUUAAUUAACAGCAAUAAGUAAUGAAUAAAUGAAAGCAAAUUGGCACAUUAAAGAGGCUAUAAUUGCUAAAAGCAGUAUAUUCUUCAUCAAGGUGUUGCUUCCAGUCUGGUGGCUGUUACAGUCCAACAGCUAUGCCUGCUCUAUUAAUUGAUUUGAUUAUAUAUUCAGGUGGCUGAUGGUAAUGAUAGAUAUCAAAUUUUAAGUCAUAGCCUGGGAGAGUAUUUGAUCCAGUCUGAUUCAAAUCUUAGAUGUUUUUUGAAUCCUCUGCAGCAGGGGAUGAAUAUCAAUCUUUGUCUGCUUGAUCCUCAGAGAAAAAGCAGUACAAACACAGCAACACAGCGCAAUACCAAACCGCAUCAAUGCAUCCUUGGAGUCCAGCGUCUGUGUAUUAUUUCAUAUGAAGUUACUUCUCAGAGCAGAUGAACGAUUAUAAAUUCUGUCUUCUCUGCUCAACACAAUUGCAUCAUUCCCAGCUACGCCUAGCAGACAUCAGAAGAAAACAAUAUUGACUGUUUUGGGGCCAGAGUAAUGGGAAGCUUUCUUAGAUGCAUCUCCAUUAUGCAGUUGAAAUAUGUAUGCAAAUGCAUCAUAUUUACAUUUGCUAAUGUGGUCAAACAGAUGCUGUUCUGAUGCAUAUUCACUAUGCUGUUUUUUUUUGCUUCAUCUGAAAUUGAUGUAGGCUAAAUGUACUUUACAUUUUUAAGUAGAGCUAUCAAAGUUAACGUGAUAAUAAUGUGUUAAGACAAAUUUGUUUUAACAUCACUAAUUUAUUUA